UACGUAGGGUGCAAGCGUUGUCCGGAAUUAUUGGGCGUAAAGGGCGCGCAGGCGGCCACGCACGUCCGUUGUGAAAUCGCUCGGCUCAACUGGGCGGGGUCAGCGGAUACGGCGCGGCUGGAGCAAGCUAGGGGGCAAUGGAAUUCCCGGUGUAGUGGUGGAAUGCGUAGAUAUCGGGAGGAACACCAGUGGCGAAGGCGGUUGCCUGGAGCUUUGCUGACGCUGAUGCGCGAAAGCGUGGGGAGCGAUCCGG
RNAcentral lists this ribosomal RNA (253 nucleotides) under uncultured bacterium. Its description in RNAcentral is "partial 16S ribosomal RNA". It matches the Rfam family "Bacterial small subunit ribosomal RNA", at positions 524 to 776 of the family's 1533-position model. The record is from RNAcentral.